Molecule: ribosomal RNA, 226 nt
Filed under: uncultured bacterium
Lineage: Bacteria
Description: partial 16S ribosomal RNA
Rfam family: Bacterial small subunit ribosomal RNA
Source: RNAcentral
CGGAACACGUACAGAACCUUCCUUUAAGCGGGGGAUAGCCCAGAGAAAUUUGGAUUAAUACCCCAUAGUAUAGUUGUCUGGCAUCAGAUGGUUAUUAAAGAUUUAUCACUUAAAGAUGGCUGUGCGGCUGAUUAGGUAGUUGGUGUAGGUAACGGCUCACCAAGCCUUCGAUCAGUAACUGGUGUGAGAGCACGACCAGUCACACGGGCACUGAGACACGGGCCCG